GAAACACGGACCAAGGAGUCUAGCAUGUGCGCGAGUCAUUGGGACCGCAAUAAACCUAAAGGCGCAAUGAAAGUAAAGGUCCGCCUCGCGCGGACCGAGGGAGGACGGGCCCGUUCACGGGCGGGCCCCGCACUCCCGGGGCGUCUCGUUCUCAUUGCGAGAAGAGGCGCACCCAGAGCGUACACGCUGGGACCCGAAAGAUGGUGACCUAUGCCCGGUCAGGACGAAGUCAGGGGAAACCCUGAUGGAGGUCCGUAGCGAUUCUGACGUGCAAAUCGAUCGUCGGAACUGGGUAUAGCGGCGAAAGACUCAUCGAACCAUCUAGUAGCUGG
Molecule: ribosomal RNA, 332 nt
Filed under: Epirinus convexus
Lineage: Eukaryota; Metazoa; Arthropoda; Insecta; Coleoptera; Scarabaeidae
Description: eukaryotic LSU rRNA
Rfam family: Eukaryotic large subunit ribosomal RNA
Source: RNAcentral